GAUGAACGCUGGCGGCGUGCCUAAUACAUGCAAGUCGAGCGAAUGGAUUAAGAGCUUGCUCUUAUGGAGUUAGCGGCGGACGGGUGAGUAACACGUGGGUAACCUGCCCAUAAGACUGGGAUAACUCCGGGAAACCGGGGCUAAUACCGGAUAACAUUUUGAACCGCAUGGUUCGAAAUUGAAAGGCGGCUUAGUCUGUCACUUAUGGAUGGACCCGGGUCGCAUUAGGUAGUUGGUGAGGUAACGGCUCACCAACGCAACGAAGCGUAGCCGACCUGAGAGGGUGAUCGGCCACACUGGGACUGAGACACGGCCCAGACUCCUACGGGAGGCAGCAGUAGGGAAUCUUCCGAAAUGGACGAAAGUCUGACGGAGCAACGCCGCGUGAGUGAUGAAGGCUUUCGGGUCGUAAAACUCUGUUGUUAGGGAAGAACAAGUGCUAGUUGAAUAAGCUGGCACCUUGACGGUACCUAACCAGAAAGCCACGGCUAACUACGUGCCAGCCGCCGCAGUAA
Molecule: ribosomal RNA, 515 nt
Filed under: uncultured bacterium
Lineage: Bacteria
Description: partial 16S ribosomal RNA
Rfam family: Bacterial small subunit ribosomal RNA
Source: RNAcentral